Molecule: ribosomal RNA, 497 nt
Filed under: uncultured bacterium
Lineage: Bacteria
Description: partial 16S ribosomal RNA
Rfam family: Bacterial small subunit ribosomal RNA
Source: RNAcentral
GAUGAACGCUGGCGGCGUGCCUAAUACAUGCAAGUCGAGCGAACAGACGAGGAGCUUGCUCCUCUGACGUUAGCGGCGGACGGGUGAGUAACACGUGGAUAACCUACCUAUAAGACUGGGAUAACUUCGGGAAACCGGAGCUAAUACCGGAUAAUAUAUUUAACCGCAUGGUUCAAUAGUGAAAGACGGUUUUGCUGUCACUUAUAGAUGGAUCCGCGCCGCAUUAGCUAGUUGGUAAGGUAACGGCUUACCAAGGCAACGAUGCGUAGCCGACCUGAGAGGGUGAUCGGCCACACUGGAACUGAGACACGGUCCAGACUCCUACGGGAGGCAGCAGUAGGGAAACUUCCGCAAUGGGCGAAAGCCUGACGGAGCAACGCCGCGUGAGUGAUGAAGGUCUUCGGAUCGUAAAACUCUGUUAUUAGGGAAGAACAAUUGUGUAAGUAACUAUGCACGUCUUGACGGUACCUAAUCAGAAAGCCACGGCUAACUACGUG